This 559-nucleotide ribosomal RNA is filed under the name uncultured bacterium. Its description in RNAcentral is "bacterial SSU rRNA". It matches the Rfam family "Bacterial small subunit ribosomal RNA", at positions 120 to 674 of the family's 1533-position model. The record is from RNAcentral.
GGGAAACUGCCUGAUGGAGGGGGAUAACUACUGGAAACGGUAGCUAAUACCGCAUAACGUCGCAAGACCAAAGAGGGGGACCUUCGGGCCUCUUGCCAUCAGAUGUGCCCAGAUGGGAUUAGCUAGUAGGUGGGGUAACGGCUCACCUAGGCGACGAUCCCUAGCUGGUCUGAGAGGAUGACCAGCCACACUGGAACUGAGACACGGUCCAGACUCCUACGGGAGGCAGCAGUGGGGAAUAUUGCACAAUGGGCGCAAGCCUGAUGCAGCCAUGCCGCGUGUAUGAAGAAGGCCUUCGGGUUGUAAAGUACUUUCAGCGGGGAGGAAGGUGUUGAGGUUAAUAACCUCAGCAAUUGACGUUACCCGCAGAAGAAGCACCGACUAACUCCGUGCCAGCAGCCGCGGUAAUACGGAGGGUGCAAGCGUUAAUCGGAAUUACUGGGCGUAAAGCGCACGCAGGCGGUCUGUCAAGUCGGAUGUGAAAUCCCCGGGCUCAACCUGGGAACUGCAUUCGAAACUGGCAGGCUAGAGUCUUGUAGAGGGGGGUAGAAUUCCAGGU